GACGAACGCUGGCGGCGUGCUUAACACAUGCAAGUCGAACGGAAAGGCCCUGCUUUUGUGGGGUGCUCGAGUGGCGAACGGGUGAGUAACACGUGAGUAACCUGCCCUUGACUUUGGGAUAACUUCAGGAAACUGGGGCUAAUACCGGAUAGGAGCUCCUGCUGCAUGGUGGGGGUUGGAAAGUUUCGGCGGUUGGGGAUGGACUCGCGGCUUAUCAGCUUGUUGGUGGGGUAGUGGCUUACCAAGGCUUUGACGGGUAGCCGGCCUGAGAGGGUGACCGGCCACAUUGGGGCUGAGAUACGGCCCAGACUCCUACGGGAGGCAGCAGUGGGGAGUAUUGCACAAUGGGCGGAAGCCUGAUGCAGCAACGCCGCGUGCGGGAUGACGGCCUUCGGGUUGUAAACCGCUUUCGCCUGUGACGAAGCGUGAGUGACGGUAAUGGGUAAAGAAGCACCGGCUAACUACGUG
This 468-nucleotide ribosomal RNA is filed under the name uncultured bacterium. Its description in RNAcentral is "partial 16S ribosomal RNA". It matches the Rfam family "Bacterial small subunit ribosomal RNA", at positions 28 to 507 of the family's 1533-position model. The record is from RNAcentral.